This 434-nucleotide ribosomal RNA is filed under the name uncultured Lachnospiraceae bacterium. RNAcentral's name for it is "bacterial SSU rRNA". It matches the Rfam family "Bacterial small subunit ribosomal RNA", at positions 341 to 792 of the family's 1533-position model. The record is from RNAcentral. Lineage: Bacteria; Bacillati; Bacillota; Clostridia; Lachnospirales; Lachnospiraceae.
ACGGAAGGCAGCAGUGGGGAAUAUUGCACAAUGGGCGAAAGCCUGAUGUAGCGACGCCGCGUGAGUGAAGAAGUAUCUCGGUAUGUAAAGCUCUAUCAGCAGGGAAGAAAAUGACGGUACCUGACUAAGAAGCCCCGGCUAACUACGUGCCAGCAGCCGCGGUAAUACGUAGGGGGCAAGCGUUAUCCGGAUUUACUGGGUGUAAAGGGAGCGUAGACGGUUUGGCAAGUCUGAAGUGAAAUGCGGGGGCUCAACUCCUGAACUGCUUUGGAAACUGUCGAACUAGAGUGCAGGAGAGGUAAGUGGAAUUCCUAGUGUAGCGGUGAAAUGCGUAGAUAUUAGGAGGAACACCAGUGGCGAAGGCGGCUUACUGGACUGUAACUGACGUUGAGGCUCGAAAGCGUGGGGAGCAAACAGGAUUAGAUACCCUGGUA